ACUCCUACGGGAGGCAGCAGUGGGGAAUAUUGCACAAUGGGGGAAACCCGUAGAUGCAGCCAUGCCGCGUGUGUGAAGAAGGCCUUCGGGUUGUAAAGCACUUUCAGCGAGGAGGAAAGGGUGUAAGUUAAUACCUUACAUCUGUGACGUUACUCGCAGAAGAAGCACCGGCUAACUCCGUGCCAGCAGCCGCGGUAAUACGGAGGGUGCGAGCGUUACUCGGAAUCACUGGGCGUAAAGAGCGUGUAGGCGGAUAGAUAAGUCAGGAGUGAAAUCCUAUGGCUCAACCAUAGAACUGCUCUUGAAACUGUCAAUCUAGAAUGUGGGAGAGGUAGAUGGAAUUUCUGGUGUAGGGGUAAAAUCCGUAGAGAUCAGAAGGAAUACCGAUUGCGAAGGCGAUCUACUGGAACAUAAUUGACGCUGAGACGCGAAAGCGUGGGAGCAAACAGGAUUAGAUACCCUGGUAGACUGUCAU
RNAcentral lists this ribosomal RNA (475 nucleotides) under uncultured bacterium. Its description in RNAcentral is "bacterial SSU rRNA". It matches the Rfam family "Bacterial small subunit ribosomal RNA", at positions 335 to 803 of the family's 1533-position model. The record is from RNAcentral.